Molecule: non-coding RNA, 89 nt
Organism: Perkinsus olseni
Lineage: Eukaryota; Perkinsozoa; Perkinsida; Perkinsidae
Source: the annotation of a GenBank genome assembly
GCCGACUAGUUAUGGCCAAGGGGUCAAAGGCGUUAGCCUAAGGCGUUAGUCCGAAAGGGCGCGAGUUCGAAUCUCGCAGCUGUUAUGCA